Molecule: long non-coding RNA, 434 nt
Organism: Sceloporus undulatus (fence lizard)
Lineage: Eukaryota; Metazoa; Chordata; Lepidosauria; Squamata; Phrynosomatidae
Exons: 3
Source: RefSeq, a predicted model, not a curated record
AAAACAUUCAACACGGUGCAGGGAAAUGCUCAGAAGUGCACCGGUUGGAAACAUGCAGUCACGCCUUGGAUGGGACCCCGUAUUUAUAGGCGAAAAGAAAAAUCCCUUGCCCUUCAUUCUUUUCUGCUUUGAACGGCAGCGUUGGAUGACAUUCCGCCAUCCAAAUGAGGAGUUGCAGACUGGAUGGAUGGAGACUUGGGUUUGUCUUGGAUCUUCUUCAACCCUUUCGUCUUCCCGACGUUCGAAAUCUUGAAGGAAUCUGCUCAAGACGGAGCUGGGAAUUUUUUCCAACGAAGGCUGGCUGAAAUUAUGAUGAUGAUUAACUCAACCACCCGCUCCCCUUUCUUUAUAAAACAGUGUUAAUUGUAAUCAGGAGUGGCAACUUAUCAGUUCCCUGCACUUUCUGAAAACUCACUGCAGAAAAGAAGCAAUUA